This 496-nucleotide long non-coding RNA is filed under the name Carica papaya (papaya). RNAcentral's name for it is "long non-coding RNA (CPAP_LNC012568)". The record is from RNAcentral. Lineage: Eukaryota; Viridiplantae; Streptophyta; Magnoliopsida; Brassicales; Caricaceae.
UAUUAAGCUUUAAUACCGUGAUAGGAAAUAGGGUGAGGGGUCCUUACUUAUUUUGGGUCUGAAAUCGACUCUACAGUGCGCCUACGGACUGUCCCUAAUUUCUCUGAAUUUUUUUCAGAAAACUGAAAUGCACUACCGGUACCUGCACGUAUCCCAAAAAAUCCCAAAUCAGACUUAAGGUCCCUUUCGGCCAAUAUCGAAAUUCCAGCAUGGCGGUGAUCCGCCUCGAGUUGGCCGUUUUCAGUCGAAUUCGGCCAAACUUGCAUCGAUCCCUACGAUAAAACAACCUUAGAGCCCUCGGUGGGCCAAAAAAAUCACAAAAAACUGAGACUUACUAGCGGCGGUGCUCUCGGGUGCGGCGGCUCCUCCGGCGUGGGUCGCGUUUUGAUGUUUGGCUCCGAUCAACCUGUAGAGAAAAGAACAGUGAUCACAGUGGUAUAAAAUUUGCAUCGAACGGAGGCCGGGAAGGGCCUCAUCGGAGGCAAAAACAGAGGGG